GACGAACGCUGGCGGCGUGCUUAACACAUGCAAGUCGAACGAAGAGCGAUGGAAGCUUGCUUCUAUCAAUCUUAGUGGCGAACGGGUGAGUAACGCGUAAUCAACCUGCCCUUCAGAGGGGGACAACAGUUGGAAACGACUGCUAAUACCGCAUACGAUCUAAUCUCGGCAUCGAGGAUAGAUGAAAGGUGGCCUCUACAUGUAAGCUAUCACUGAAGGAGGGGAUUGCGUCUGAUUAGCUAGUUGGAGGGGUAACGGCCCACCAAGGCGAUGAUCAGUAGCCGGUCUGAGAGGAUGAACGGCCACAUUGGGACUGAGACACGGCCCAGACUCCUACGGGAGGCAGCAGUGGGGAAUCUUCCGCAAUGGACGAAAGUCUGACGGAGCAACGCCGCGUGAGUGAGGACGGCCUUCGGGUUGUAAAGCUCUGUUAAUCGGGACGAAAGGCCUUCUUGCGAAUAGUGAGAAGGAUUGACGGUACCGGAAGAGAAAGCCACGGCUAACUACGUG
Molecule: ribosomal RNA, 510 nt
Filed under: uncultured bacterium
Lineage: Bacteria
Description: partial 16S ribosomal RNA
Rfam family: Bacterial small subunit ribosomal RNA
Source: RNAcentral